This is a non-coding RNA of Gemella haemolysans ATCC 10379, 125 nucleotides long. The record is from Rfam. NCBI's taxonomy places the organism in Bacteria, Bacillati, Bacillota, Bacilli, Caryophanales, Gemellaceae.
AUAUUUCUUCGGGGUCGGGUGAAAGUCCCAAUCGGCGGUGACUAGUUUACUAGAAGUCCGUGAGCGCAAGCUGAUCUGGUGAAAUUCCAGAACCGACAGUAUAGUCUGGAUGGGAGAAGAAAUUA